GACUAUAUGAAGCUGGAAUCGCUAGUAAUCGUAGAUCAGCAUGCUACGGUGAAUACGUUCCCGGGUCUUGUACACACCGCCCGUCACACCACGAGAGUUUGUAACACCCGAAGCCGGUGGAGUAACCAUUUGGAGCUAGCCGUCGAAGGUGGGACAAAUGAUUGGGGUGAAGUCGUAACAAGGUAGCCGUAUCGGAAGGUGCGGCUGGAUCACCUCCUUUCUAAGGA
RNAcentral lists this ribosomal RNA (227 nucleotides) under Staphylococcus epidermidis. Its description in RNAcentral is "partial 16S ribosomal RNA". It matches the Rfam family "Bacterial small subunit ribosomal RNA", at positions 1314 to 1533 of the family's 1533-position model. The record is from RNAcentral. Lineage: Bacteria; Bacillati; Bacillota; Bacilli; Caryophanales; Staphylococcaceae.